GCUUGUCUCAAAGAUUAAGCCAUGCAUGUCUAAGUACAAGCCGCUAGUUCGGCGAAACCGCGAAUGGCUCAAUAAAUCAGUUAUGGUUCCUUAGAUCCACUCCAUCCUACUUGGAUAACUGUGGUAAUUCUAGAGCUAAUACAUGCACUCGAGCCUCGACCGAGGCCCCGGCAACGGGGUCGCGGAAGAGGUGCUUUUAUUAGAUCAAAACCAAACGGCUUCGGCCGUCUCAUUGGUGACUCUGAAUAACUUUGGGCUGAUCGUAUGGCCUUGUGCCGACGACGUUUCCUUCGAAGGUGUGCCCUAUCAACUGUCGACUGUGAUAUAGACGCUCACAGUGGUUUUGACGGGUAACGGGGAAUCAGGGUUCGAUUCCGGAGAGGGAGCCUUAAAAACGGCUACCACAUCCAAGGAAGGCAGCAGG
RNAcentral lists this ribosomal RNA (424 nucleotides) under uncultured fungus. Its description in RNAcentral is "partial small subunit ribosomal RNA". It matches the Rfam family "Eukaryotic small subunit ribosomal RNA", at positions 30 to 432 of the family's 1831-position model. Lineage: Eukaryota; Fungi. The record is from RNAcentral.